This 217-nucleotide long non-coding RNA is filed under the name Fukomys damarensis (Damara mole-rat). Its description in RNAcentral is "lncRNA (ENSFDAG00000032489.1)". The record is from RNAcentral. Lineage: Eukaryota; Metazoa; Chordata; Mammalia; Rodentia; Bathyergidae.
CUGCUCUUUGUCCUGAUCUCCAUUUAUUCGUUUUCUACAGCUCAGUGCUUCAUGCUGUGCUUGCCACAUGAUGGCUGUAGAUCCUGCAGUCCUCCUGAGAUGGGACCCUAUGAUAGCAGAUGUAAAGUUGUUACUGCUCUGGAUGCAUCUCUACAGAGUUCAGAUGUAGAAGCCUGACAUCCCAUUAAAAUAAGCAAUUUUAAAAUAAAUGGAUGCU